CAUGUGCUAUAAGAUUAUUGUAUGGCGAACGUUGUGUCCACGUUCUGUGAAAGUGCAAAUGCAUAUUUUGGUGAGUUAAGCAAGAAGUUUUUUGUUCAUUACAAAGAAGGGGAGAAACUGUUGAGAAGGCUCCGGACAUUGACCUGAAUGAUCAAAUCUCAAUACCUAACAGCAUCAAGGUCAGCAAUGGUGGCGAAAGCUUGCAGGGACAGAUCCACCUGGUUUGCUUCGCAUCCUGGACACAUAUCAACAAUCUUCACUGUAAUUUCACCAUUGCGGCAGGGCUGAGGUAUGCCUUGGUUUGUCGAUCCAGUGCAUCGAACCCUGUAACGUCUCCCACAGGCCGCACUAUUGUUGAACAGAGCAGCAUUAGCUGCGGCUAUCAUCGUGCCCUGAUUCUCGAAUCCAUAGCAUGACGAUGCUGCAAAUACGGGAGGAGCAAGUUUACAUUACUCUACGCGCGAUAUAUUUUAAUAUAAGUGGAAAAACAAAAUCUCUCGUACUCAUUUUUUCCUAGAUAAAUAUAUAGGUUUAGAAGACAUGCAGAAAUGAUUUAUAGAACUAAAAUUACAUUUUCCCCUGCAAAAAGAGAAGCGACUUACGAACAUAAACAUUAUAGUAGGUGGCAGUUCCAGCAAUGGCAUAGGACCCGGAAAUUAGGCUGCUGGCGAUGAGCGUGAAGACUAUAACGCGUUGGAUGGCCAUUUUUCGACCUAAAUUUUGGGGGAGAACCUCAAAACUUGGUUCUAGUAUCUUGCUCAAUUUGUGUAUAACUAUAUAUGUGUAAUCACACUGUAUUUUUGCAUUCAAAGAAGUGUGAAAUUCCCGCGCUAUAUAUAAGAUACGAGGCGGCACAGCUUUGUCUGA
Non-coding RNA from Sesamum indicum (sesame), 867 nucleotides. The record is from RefSeq and is a predicted model, not a curated record. NCBI's taxonomy places the organism in Eukaryota, Viridiplantae, Streptophyta, Magnoliopsida, Lamiales, Pedaliaceae.